RNAcentral lists this ribosomal RNA (315 nucleotides) under uncultured bacterium. RNAcentral describes it as "bacterial SSU rRNA". It matches the Rfam family "Bacterial small subunit ribosomal RNA", at positions 29 to 363 of the family's 1533-position model. The record is from RNAcentral.
AACGAACGCUGGCGGCAUGCCUAACACAUGCAAGUCGAACGGGAUCCUAGCUUGCUAGGUGAGAGUGGCGGACGGGUGAGUAACACGUGGGAAUCUGCCUUUUGGUUCGGGAUAACCGCGGGAAACUGCGGCUAAUACCGAAUGCCCUCGAGAGAGGAAAGAUUUAUCGCCAGAAGAGGAGCCCGCGUCCGAUUAGGUAGUUGGUGGGGUAAAGGCCUACCAAGCCGACGAUCGGUAGCUGGUCUGAGAGGAUGAUCAGCCACACUGGGACUGAGAUACGGCCCAGACUCCUACGGGAGGCAGCAGUGGGGAAUA